This 468-nucleotide ribosomal RNA is filed under the name uncultured bacterium. Its description in RNAcentral is "partial 16S ribosomal RNA". It matches the Rfam family "Bacterial small subunit ribosomal RNA", at positions 28 to 507 of the family's 1533-position model. The record is from RNAcentral.
GACGAACGCUGGCGGCGUGCUUAACACAUGCAAGUCGAACGGAAAGGCCCUGCUUUUGUGGGGUGCUCGAGUGGCGAACGGGUGAGUAACACGUGAGUAACCUGCCCUUGACUUUGGGAUAACUUCAGGAAACUGGGGCUAAUACCGGAUAGGAGCUCCUGCUGCAUGGUGGGGGUUGGAAAGUUUCGGCGGUUGGGGAUGGACUCGCGGCUUAUCAGCUUGUUGGUGGGGUAGUGGCUUACCAAGGCUUUGACGGGUAGCCGGCCUGAGAGGGUGACCGGCCACAUUGGGACUGAGAUACGGCCCAGACUCCUACGGGAGGCAGCAGUGGGGAAUAUUGCACAAUGGGCGGAAGCCUGAUGCAGCAACGCCGCGUGAGGGAUGACGGCCUUCGGGUUGUAAACCUCUUUCACCUGUGACGAAGCGAAAGUGACGGUAACUGGUAAAGAAGCACCGGCUAACUACGUG